RNAcentral lists this ribosomal RNA (253 nucleotides) under uncultured bacterium. RNAcentral describes it as "partial 16S ribosomal RNA". It matches the Rfam family "Bacterial small subunit ribosomal RNA", at positions 524 to 776 of the family's 1533-position model. The record is from RNAcentral.
GACAGAGGGUGCAACCGUUGCUCGGAAUCACUGGGCGUAAAGGGCGUGUAGGCGGGAAGGCAAGUCAGAUGUGAAAUCCCUGGGCUCAACCCAGGAACUGCAUUUGAAACUCCCUUUCUUGAGUGUCGGAGAGGAAAGUGGAAUUCCUGGUGUAGAGGUGAAAUUCGUAGAUAUCAGGAGGAACACCGGUGGCGAAGGCGGCUUUCUGGACGACAACUGACGCUGAGACGCGAAAGCGUGGGGAGCAAACAGG